Dermacentor andersoni is the source of this 2394-nucleotide long non-coding RNA. RefSeq lists it as uncharacterized. Lineage: Eukaryota; Metazoa; Arthropoda; Arachnida; Ixodida; Ixodidae. The record is from RefSeq and is a predicted model, not a curated record.
GGCGUUGGUCGUGACUCUGGGCGCUGUCCACAGCAGCGUCGGCCAGAGAAGCAAGGCCAGAGUGCUGCUCGCAGCGAACGACUGGAAGGGCGAGGCCGUCGUGACGCAGUCCAUACGAGUGGCCGCGGACUCAAAGAAAGAAGCGGCCAUCACCAAGCGUUACGAGGCGCCCGCGUCCAAGCGGUACGCGAGCUCAUCAGAAGCCGCCAACUUCGUCCACCCGGGAGAAGUACUACGGCGGCCUGCGGCUUCGGGCGUCACGUACGUGGCCGAGCCGACCGGUGCCCAGGCGGUGUCGACGGCGGUCGCACUUAAGACGGAACCUUCGGCGGCAGCGACUGGCCAUGGUGGCGGCCACGGCGGGGGACACGGAGGAGGAUACUUCCAGUACGCUCGUGUUCCCGGCUACAACACGUACGAGUUCGGCUACCGCAAGGGCAAUCCGCACCACUUCCAGGAGCGCCACGAGACGCGCCAUGGACCCCAUUUUCGCACUAAGCAGCGCUGGGGAGACAAGUACGGCGGAUACGGCGAGCACUACUGGGAGUACAACCACGCGCCCAAGUAUCACUGAAUGUGAAAGAGGCCGUGCAACGGCUGCCAUUUCACAUCAGCCAGCGUUUUCACAGCACAUCUUACUCCUGGCCGACUUACGCUCCAGAAUCAACUAGUACCGGAACAUCAUGCAGUGGCAGCCACCCUGCACAACGAGGAAUCUGUUGUCAUGCCAGGAACCUUAUAUAUAUAUAUAAAUUAAGGCGACAGAAGCAUAUGGCAUUUGCACAUACGCUGCGUCGAAUUUUGUAAAUGCGUCAUUAUUUAUGUGUAUGCACAUCUAGCCGUAUAUAUGCGAGGCUACUCGUGAGCGACUUUCUGUGACAAUGAAGGGAAAGCUACGGAGACAAGGCAAGCGAAAGCAUAAGAGCGCUCUGGAAAAAAAAGUCCCAUGUUCUCACCCGCGUCACAAUUAAGCUGGGCAAGAGAAAACAUUGACACCUUAUAUACAACAGCAGAACAAGACAAAGUACGCGUUAUAUUUACCUUUUUUUUCUGCUUUUAUCUUCCUCCACGUUUGGACAAAUGCGAAACCCUCGCACGUGGAAAUUGCGCUGAUUCAAGUAUCGGCUUCAAGAAACCAAAAUAGCUGUCAAACGCUGCCGGGGUAUUAUUCUGAACAUCGUCGAAUUCCUUCAAGUUGCCACAUUCUGUAAUGGCGGCAUCUUGAGUCAAUCAGGGAAGCCGCAGAAGCCAUCUGGACCAAUCAUAGCUGACAAGAUGGCGAAUUCGACAUAAUGGCGGAGUUCGAGGAUGUCUAGAAUAAGUACCCUCGGACUAUUUGGCACAGUAGCGCAUGCAUGUGGAUAUGCUCCGCACUUCUAGUUUUUCCCUUAUUGCCACAGACAAUCAUUCACUUAAUCAGUUUUGGGAGGCAUCCCGCACUUACACACGAUGCGGUAAGCUUAAAAGGUCAUACGAUAAGCUUCCGCUGCAUUAAUCUUAAUGGGGCUACAGGGGUUUCGUAGGCGAAACUGCAAUGUCUGGAAACGUUUAAUGGGAGACACAUAAUGUGUUUCGCGUGCUGGUGAUCGCAUCAUGAAAUAGUUUUGGCACCUUAUAUUUCAACUAGGCAUGUCAUAGUACCUGACGAAGAUAUUAACACUGACAUGCGUAACAAUUAUCUGCACUUUACCAGUUUCCCAGGUUCACCAGACAUGAAAGUUGCUUUCACUUUUCCCUCGUAUAGCUGAGCAACGCGUGCAAAUAAUUCGCGUCUGUGAGUUGAAAAUGUAUAGGAAGGAAAACUUGAGCAAAAAUGGGAGGAGACGGGAGGGGGCGGGGGGGUGAGGAGAUGGCAGCGAUUGAUAUCUACAGCUACUGAGAGAUCAUGAUAAGCCAUUGGUGUUUGUUUAAUUGACGUAAGGCACGAAUUUGCAACUGAGUAAGAGAUUCCCUAUUCGAAAUUUUGUUGUUGUUACCGCUGAACCUAAAUUUGCUUAGCACAGACAUUUGCGAAAACAUGAAAGAAAUUAUGAUUGAGGAAAAUUCCUUGAAAAAUCCAUUCCUAGGAGACUCUCCUAGGUGUGCGUGUUCUGACACUGACUAUUAUAUAUAUGCAACCUACGACGAAGUUCACUGCGGAUGAAUGUGGAUGCCGAGGCGAAUGGUGAAAUUUCGCUUUGGCAGCGUUGUAUCAAUCCAAACUGACAUUAUCAUUUUAACGUGAAAUAAUUUUUGUGAGAAGUUUAGAUCGUCGGUGCGAGCUGUCAUCAAAUUGCAGCCAUCAAUUAGUCUGUCACGACUGUAUGCGCGUCAUUGUGUUUGCUGUUUUAUUUGUUUCACUGCAUUAUGUCGUUGUACUUGCCCGUUCAAUAAAAAAGAAAGGAUAAAUAUCGA